AAUAAUCUUAUUUUUCGUUUUUCGUAUUUAUCGUUUGACCAUUCGUCUUAUUUAAAUUAUUUUUGUGAUUAAUAUUUUUAUUAUGACUGGAUAAUAAAAUAUGAAUAGUAUUUUAUACGUGACUAAUUUUCUUAGGUUUUUAUACAAAAUUUUCAAAUAAGACGAAUGGUCAAACGUUGGAAAAAAAACA
Non-coding RNA from Oryza brachyantha (malo sina), 190 nucleotides. The record is from Rfam. Lineage: Eukaryota; Viridiplantae; Streptophyta; Magnoliopsida; Poales; Poaceae.